GUCAGUGUGGUAUAAUGGUUUGAGCACUGGACUAUGACUCUGGAGACCAGGGAUCAAAUCCUUGUUCAGCCU
Molecule: transfer RNA, 72 nt
Filed under: Phrynosoma platyrhinos (Desert horned lizard)
Lineage: Eukaryota; Metazoa; Chordata; Lepidosauria; Squamata; Phrynosomatidae
Description: tRNA-OTHER
Source: RNAcentral